CGCUGGCGGCGUGCUUAACACAUGCAAGUCGAACGGAAAGGCCCUGCUUUUGUGGGGUGCUCGAGUGGCGAACGGGUGAGUAACACGUGAGUAACCUGCCCUUGACUUUGGGAUAACUUCAGGAAACUGGGGCUAAUACCGGAUAGGAGCUCCUGCUGCAUGGUGGGGGUUGGAAAGUUUCGGCGGUUGGGGAUGGACUCGCGGCUUAUCAGCUUGUUGGUGGGGUAGUGGCUUACCAAGGCUUUGACGGGUAGCCGGCCUGAGAGGGUGACCGGCCACAUUGGGACUGAGAUACGGCCCAGACUCCUACGGGAGGCAGCAGUGGGGAAUAUUGCACAAUGGGCGGAAGCCUGAUGCAGCAACGCCGCGUGCGGGAUGACGGCCUUCGGGUUGUAAACCGCUUUCGCCUGUGACGAAGCGUGAGUGACGGUAAUGGGUAAAGAAGCACCGGCUAACUACGUGCCAGCAGCCGCGGUGAUACGUAGGGUGCGAGCGUUGUCCGGAUUUAUUGGGCGUAAAGGGCUCGUAGGUGGUUGAUCGCGUCGGAAGUGUAAUCUUGGGGCUUAACCCUGAGCGUGCUUUCGAUACGGGUUGACUUGAGGAAGGUAGGGGAGAAUGGAAUUCCUGGUGGAGCGGUGGAAUGCGCAGAUAUCAGGAGGAACACCAGUGGCGAAGGCGGUUCUCUGGGCCUUUCCUGACGCUGAGGAGCGAAAGCGUGGGGAGCGAACAGGCUUAGAUACCCUGGUAGUCCACGCUGUAAACGGUGGGUACUAGGUGUGGGGUCCAUUCCACGGGUUCCGUGCCGUAGCUAACGCUUUAAGUACCCCGCCUGGGGAGUACGGCCGCAAGGCUAAAACUCAAAGGAAUUGACGGGGCCCCGCACAAGCGGCGGAGCAUGCGGAUUAAUUCGAUGCAACGCGUAGAACCUUACCUGGGUUUGACAUGGAUCGGGAGUGCUCAGAGAUGGGUGUGCCUCUUUUGGGGUCGGUUCACAGGUGGUGCAUGCCUGUCGUCAGCUCGUGUCGUGAGAUGUUGGGUUAAGUCCCACAACGAGCGCAACCCUUGUUCACUGUUGCCAGCACGUUAUGGUGGGGACUCAGUGGAGACCGCCGGGGUCAACUCGGAGGAAGGUGGGGAUGACGUCAAGUCCUCAUGCCCCUUAUGUCCAGGGCUUCACGCAUGCUACAAUGGCUGGUACAGAGAGUGGCGAGCCUGUGAGGGUGAGCGAAUCUCGGAAAGCCGGUCUCAGUUCGGAUUGGGGUCUGCAACUCGACCUCAUGAAGUCGGAGUCGCUAGUAAUCGCAGAUCAGCAACGCUGCGGUGAAUACGUUCCCGGGGCUUGUACACACCGCCCGUCAAGUCAUGAAAGUUGGUAACACCCGAAGCCGGUGGCCUAACCGUUGUGGGGGAGCCGUCGAAGGUGGGACUGGUGAUUAGGAC
Molecule: ribosomal RNA, 1440 nt
Filed under: uncultured organism
Description: partial small subunit ribosomal RNA
Rfam family: Bacterial small subunit ribosomal RNA
Source: RNAcentral